RNAcentral lists this long non-coding RNA (3662 nucleotides) under Podarcis lilfordi (Lilford's wall lizard). Lineage: Eukaryota; Metazoa; Chordata; Lepidosauria; Squamata; Lacertidae. The record is from RNAcentral.
GGCCAGGUGGGGGGGUCGCCACGAUGACAAGGACCGGCCCUCCUUUGUGACCUCUGUUGCUUCUCCCUAAAAAGCCACCGACUUGCAGGAGGCCUUUGUGGGUUAGGCGUGAGGCGAGUGGAGGAGAGAGGAGUUGGUGGCGGUUGGCGGAGAUUGGGGAAGGAGUUCGGUUUAUUGUUCUUUUUCCAGUUUCUUAUUUUGCUUCCCAUUUCAUUUAAUACUUUUAUUUGAUUUAUUAUUUUAGUUUUUUGUUUUAACACUUUUAUCUUAUUGUUCUUUAUUUUAAUAUUUUUUAUUUUAUUUUGUGCACAUUUUGUAUAUAUUUGCAUAUAUUUAUUUUGUACAUAGAGGGGUAGUUAAGGUUAGGCUUAGGCUUAGGGCUGCGGUUGGGGUCAGAAGUUAGGCUUGGAUGGGCAUUUUAGACAGCUAGUUUAGAGAGGAAGGUGGGAUUUCUUCCUGGACAAAAUGGACAGGCUGUAAGUGUUGGGAUACUGCCAGGGAGACGAAGGCAUCAAGCAGGCCUCCACGUCGCCUCCGGAUGAUCUCCCAGUCUCUCGUUGAACAGCAUCAGUCAAUUAGCGACACGAGCUUCAGAGACAUUCCAAGACUCGUGCACACCCUUUUCAGCAGUCUCCACAACGGAAGAUUCAGAUAGGAGAGCAUAUUUACAGCUUUAUUCAACGUAGAUCAGAAGAAAGGAAAAACAUGACUGCUUGCAUCCGUGUCCAGGAAAACAGCCAAACCAAAAACUAUAUACAAAACGGAAGUUCCCAGAGAGAACAGUGCUGGGAGUAAACAGGCAUGUGACACACAAUAAUCAUGUCUGACCAUUUAAGGUGGAACGGAACUAUAUCCUAACAGUAAGUAGGAUUCUUUCCCUUGGUCUUGGUCUCUGGGGGGGGGUGAGUCCUGGGGUCUCUUGCACAGUCUUGGCUCUCUGGAAAUUGACCCGGCCAGUCUUCUCUAGAGAGCUCAGCUCCUCCAAACUCAUUCUCUGCCUUCCCCUUUUCUCUCCCCUCUCAUCAUCCGCUUUUAUUAGGACAUUCCUAGCCCACUUUCCUCCCAGGAGCUCAAAGUGGCCUUCAUGGUUCUCCCUGCCACCAAUUUUUAUCUUCCCAGCAGCCCUGCAAAGUAGGCCUGGCUGGCCCAAGGUCCACCAGGGAGCUUCAUGGCUCAGUGGGGAUUCGAACUCUGCUCUUCCCAGUCCUCCUAGUCCAGCCCUCCAACCACUGCACCUCUCCCUGGCUCCAUCUUGCAUCUUUCCAGCUGCCCAACGCCAUCGGCCUUCUCCCCCUUCAUGGGGGUCUCUCUGGUUCCAAGGAAGACUCCACCACCUUCCUCUCUCGGCCCCCCGCACAGACACAAACACCCCCCACCCAUUGGGGCUCCUGGGUCACUCUCUCCCCCCCCCACUCCUCUCUUCUAGGUUCAGGUGGUUCAGGGCCCUGUUCAGCUGCCAGCAGAGGAACAGGGUGGCCCCGCUGCAAGUCCGGGAGGAGCCCGUGGUGAUAGGUGAGCAAGUUUGGAGACCGGAGGGCUAGGGGGCAUCUCAGGGUGCAGUUCUCUGGCUGCCUCCCCCCGAAAGAGCUGGCUUUCCUCCUCUGCUCUCUUGCAGGACAUCUUGGGGCACUUGGAGCGCUUCAGGGAUCAAUCCCUGAGCCUGGCCCUGGCCCUCCUCCAGCUGAGGUGAGGGGGUUCUUUGGGAUGGACGGGGUUGUGGGGGUGGGUGGUGGACAGAAUUCCAGGGGGAGCUCUGGGUGGGGAAGAGCAGGCAGGAGGGAGAAGGGGGCAAGGGAGACUCAGAGGAGGCAGCAUCUAACCCUCUCCCCUUCAUCUCUGCAGCAUCAUGAGGCCAAAGUUCAGCAGCGAUGUGCCCAGUGCUAUCCUGCACAGGAUGUUUGAGGCAGUGCUGAAAGGGGCUGAGAAGGUGGAGGACAGAGAAGUAUGUCUUGACUUCCCUUUGCUCAGCUCUUUCUUCUUCUCACACCCUUGCAAGAUUUAACCCAGCACUCAACCUCUCUUCUCUUUUCCCGCAGGAACUGAAGGGGCAUUUCCAAAGCCUGCUGGGGGGUCCUCCACUUCAGAGAUGGGCAUCUCAAUUCUCCACACAACUUUCCAGGCCAACUAGAGGGAAAGAAUGAGAGGACAGGGAGGUCUGUCCUUAGUCCUCUUUACUUUUCCUUUGAGGCAGCAGCACUGAGGGGCCUUUGGACCAUCCAGCUGCCCAAGAAUCGCACUGCAGAGUCCAUUCUGGUUGUGUGAAUGACCCCAGGAGGGAGCUGUCAGGGGAUGGCAGAGGUGCCCUCCUGAUGCCCCUGGAAGGACCUGACUUUCCUCCUCUGCUCUCUUCCAGGACAUCCUGGCGCGCCUGGGGCGUUUUUACGAGCGCCCAUAAUCCAAACUUCUCCGACCUCUGCAGUGCAAUAGUCCGCAGGAGGUUUGAGACACUCCUGAAGGAAGAACAGGAGGUGAACAGGAAGGUUUGUCAUUGGUCUUGACUUCUCUUGACAUGGCUCUUUCUUCUUCCUCUUCACACACUUCCACAACUGCACUCAGGACUCAAAAUCUCUUCUCUCUUUUCCUUCCUUGCCCUUCGGGGACCUACUGGCUUGAACAUGGAAGUGAAGUGGCACUUCCAUCAUCUGCUCUGACAGAGACCCCCAAUGCUCCGCACCUCCUUCUCCUGCUUAACGUAAGUGUCCUGAUGGCAUCAGAGAUGGUAAAGGGAUGCCAGGGACUCUGUGGUGGAGGCAGCGGAGGGCCACUUUGGCCCAGGCUGGCCCCUGACUUUGAGAUGCUCUUUCUAUCCACAGGACCUCUGAUGUUACGCCCUUUGGGAAAGUGGGGAGGAACAGAAACUAGUGGCCAACAGCAUCCCUUCUCUGCUGGCCUUUGCCCGAAGUUCCCCCAUCUCAGAGCAAGUAGAUUCAGUCCUUUGAACACUUCCAUCUCCCCAAGAGACUCCCAAGGCUACUCAUCCUCUGCAGUUGAGAACAGACCUAACUGAAAAGAACAGCUUCCUCUUCUGGUGACACAAGAGAAUUCUAGAAGACAUUCACCCUUUCCAUAGCAUUAUGGAUGCAUGACAGUUCUUUAGUUGGAAUCUCCUUUCUCACAAGUCAUUUGGGUCCUUGUCUCCAGAGCAGGAGCAGGUGCAAGCUUCUUGCAUCUUCCAUGUGGGAGCCCUUUGGGUAUUUGAAGACGGCUCUCAAGUCAUGUCUCCGUCUCCCCUUCUCCAGGCUAAACAUCCCCAACUGUGAAAUCCACUUAAAAAAUAAUAAUAAUCUAGCCUUUUUGCAGUUUGGAAAAUGAAGGGUAAAUGCAUUGAAAAGUGUGGUGGGAAGACUUUUAAGAAAUUGGGAUGAGUGUUCAUGGUCCUAUACCUGCCCCACAAAGAAAUCUGAAUUGGAUAGAAUCUGAUCUCCGUGUGCAGGACCUUAGAUUUGUCCCUCUUGAAAUUCUUUCCUGCUCUGUGCCAGACUCCAAAGCUGGACUUGGGGCUUUAUGGGAAACCUAAUGCAGAAGCAAGAUCUGUAAGGGGGGGGGGUGCUAAGAGCCCCUCCAUCCUGUGCUCAGGUUGUAUAUAUGUGCAAAUAAAACCAGGUAUCCUGAAGACUCCACAGUCUCUGCUAACCUUCAUUCCCAGAAAACUAAACCCCGGG